Molecule: ribosomal RNA, 772 nt
Filed under: Staphylococcus aureus
Lineage: Bacteria; Bacillati; Bacillota; Bacilli; Caryophanales; Staphylococcaceae
Description: partial 23S ribosomal RNA
Rfam family: Bacterial large subunit ribosomal RNA
Source: RNAcentral
ACAAGUAGUCAGAGCCCGUUAAUGGGUGAUGGCGUGCCUUUUGUAGAAUGAACCGGCGAGUUACGAUUUGAUGCAAGGUUAAGCAGUAAAUGUGGAGCCGUAGCGAAAGCGAGUCUGAAUAGGGCGUUUAGUAUUUGGUCGUAGACCCGAAACCAGGUGAUCUACCCUUGGUCAGGUUGAAGUUCAGGUAACACUGAAUGGAGGACCGAACCGACUUACGUUGAAAAGUGAGCGGAUGAACUGAGGGUAGCGGAGAAAUUCCAAUCGAACCUGGAGAUAGCUGGUUCUCUCCGAAAUAGCUUUAGGGCUAGCCUCAAGUGAUGAUUAUUGGAGGUAGAGCACUGUUUGGACGAGGGGCCCCUCUCGGGUUACCGAAUUCAGACAAACUCCGAAUGCCAAUUAAUUUAACUUGGGAGUCAGAACAUGGGUGAUAAGGUCCGUGUUCGAAAGGGAAACAGCCCAGACCACCAGCUAAGGUCCCAAAAUAUAUGUUAAGUGGAAAAGGAUGUGGCGUUGCCCAGACAACUAGGAUGUUGGCUUAGAAGCAGCCAUCAUUUAAAGAGUGCGUAAUAGCUCACUAGUCGAGUGACACUGCGCCGAAAAUGUACCGGGGCUAAACAUAUUACCGAAGCUGUGGAUUGUCCUUUGGACAAUGGUAGGAGAGCGUUCUAAGGGCGUUGAAGCAUGAUCGUAAGGACAUGUGGAGCGCUUAGAAGUGAGAAUGCCGGUGUGAGUAGCGAAAGACGGGUGAGAAUCCCGUCCACCGAUUGAC